This 497-nucleotide ribosomal RNA is filed under the name uncultured bacterium. RNAcentral's name for it is "partial 16S ribosomal RNA". It matches the Rfam family "Bacterial small subunit ribosomal RNA", at positions 28 to 507 of the family's 1533-position model. The record is from RNAcentral.
GACGAACGCUGGCGGCGUGCCUAAUACAUGCAAGUAGAACGCUGAAGAGAGGAGCUUCCUCUUCUUGGAUGAGUUGCGAACGGGUGAGUAACGCGUAGGUAACCUGCCUUGUAGCGGGGGAUAACUAUUGGAAACGAUAGCUAAUACCGCAUAACAAUGGAUGACACAUGUCCUUUAUUUGAAAGGGGCAAUUUCUCCACUACAAGAUGGACCUGCGUUGUAUUAGCUAGUAGGUGAGGUAAUGGCUCACCUAGGCGACGAUACAUAGCCGACCUGAGAGGGUGAUCGGCCACACUGGGCAUGAGACACGGCCCAGACUCCUACGGGAGGCAGAAGUAGGGAAUCUUCGGCAAUGGGGGCAAUCCUGACCGGGCAACGCCGCGUGAGUGAAGAAGGUUUUCGGAUCGUAAAGCUCUGUUGUAAGUCAAGAACGGGUGUGAGAGUGGAAAGUUCACACUGUGACGGUAGCUUACCAGAAAGGGACGGCUAACUACGUG